CAGCGCCGCGGUAAUACGUAGGUCCCGAGCGUUGUCCGGAUUUAUUGGGCGUAAAGCGAGCGCAGGCGGUUAGAUAAGUCUGAAGUUAAAGGCUGUGGCUUAACCAUAGUAUGCUUUGGAAACUGUUUAACUUGAGUGCAGAAGGGGAGAGUGGAAUUCCAUGUGUAGCGGUGAAAUGCGUAGAUAUAUGGAGGAACACCGGUGGCGAAAGCGGCUCUCUGGUCUGUAACUGACGCUGAGGCUCGAAAGCGUGGGGAGCAAACAGGAUUAGAUACCCCAGUAGUCCCUGUCUCUUAUACAC
RNAcentral lists this ribosomal RNA (301 nucleotides) under uncultured bacterium. Its description in RNAcentral is "partial 16S ribosomal RNA". It matches the Rfam family "Bacterial small subunit ribosomal RNA", at positions 509 to 809 of the family's 1533-position model. The record is from RNAcentral.